UGAGCAAUCUGCCCUUCUCUUUGGAAUAAGCGUUGGAAACGACGUCUAAUGCCGAAUACGACCUCCUUUCGCAUGAUCGGAGGUGGAAAGCUCCGGCGGAGAAGGAUCAGCUCGCGGCCUAUCAGCUAGUUGGUGUGGGUAAUGGCCCACCAAGGCGACGACGGGUAGCCGGCCUGAGAGGGUGACCGGCCACACUGGGACUGAGACACGGCCCAGACUCCUACGGGAGGNAGCG
Molecule: ribosomal RNA, 235 nt
Filed under: uncultured bacterium
Lineage: Bacteria
Description: partial 16S ribosomal RNA
Rfam family: Bacterial small subunit ribosomal RNA
Source: RNAcentral